Molecule: long non-coding RNA, 4046 nt
Organism: Sander lucioperca (pikeperch)
Lineage: Eukaryota; Metazoa; Chordata; Actinopteri; Perciformes; Percidae
Exons: 2
Source: RefSeq, a predicted model, not a curated record
UUGUUUUUGCGUUACCGACACUAUGUUCAUAUCUCAUUGUUUUGCUGUAUUAGUGUGGUAAAUUCUACUGUGUUGGGGGGGAAAAAAGACAACUAAUGCUAAAGAGACAGCAGCCUUGUUGGCAUUAGGCCUGCUAAUCUCUGACAUUACUUAGUAUAUUCUAGGAACGAUGUGUUUUCCCCGAACGCUUCAAAGUCUCAUCGGGUUUUCACUGCACGAGUUGCUUUGUAUCAGUCUUGUUUAGACCCCAUCUCUGCACUUUUAUUGGGAUUAACAGCUGUUAAGGUUGAGGGGAAACCAACUAUGUGGUUGGAAAUGGCCGCUCCUCUUUUGUUGCGUUAGCUCCCAACAUGUCUUCCAGUACCCUGUUAGAAAAUGGCGGCCGAGCACAGAAGCGAAAACAACAACCCAAGCCCCACGGUAGAAAUGUUUUCACCGCGUGAUUUCAAUCCUUAUGUGGCCUUGUCUCAACCUGUAACGGGUCACACAACUUGUUUUGUUGUGUGAAGUAACUGUUAAGAGUGAGUUGUAGCCCAACAGAGCAAGUGGUAACGUUUGAAAGACACAAGCUGUGCCCUACAUUUCCAAACUGUAAAGUACAAUUGUCGAAUAUACCCUAUGCACUUUUAUUCAUAGAGUGCCGUUUGACCUUUUUAUUUUGUUAAUAUUAUGAAUGGGCAUGUGAAAUUGACUUGUUACCGCAGAGGAGUUGCUAACACUUUUGGAGCCUGUGACAUUUAUCUAUUUAUUGGAUAAAAGGAGAAGGUUGUGUAUGUGCCUCUGUGGAAGAUGACAGUAAUAAUGGUCACUACCUGUACAAUGAACAUAAUGACUCUGUGCACACUAUAACAUAAAUGGUAUACUGAGGUUUCACAUGUGAUGAGAAGUCAUUUGUUUAUAUAGGCCUAGUAUAAAACAAAUAUAAUACGUAGUUGAUAUUUAUUGUGUGACCGUGGCAGCAGGAUUGUUUGAUAUACAGUUUUGUGCGACUGAAAUACAUCAAGAGCUUAAAUGAUGUUAGGGUGACAGGAGGUGCAUGUUAUUAAUCAAAUAAUAAAGCAAGUUAACUCCGCUUUAUUCAGUAUUAUCAUGGUCCAGUUUGUGUGUUUUAAUCAUCUAACAUAUGCAUUUGACUUAUUCUGUAGAAUUGGUAAAAUAAAUAUUUUUUUUAAUAAGUACAUUUUUUAUAUGUACUUUUAGGAAUAUCAAAUGGGUCAUUUUGGUUCCCGUUGCUCUACUCGUGUUGAUAGGAAAUAAUCAUGUUAUUCAUUGAUUUUGUGUCACUUUCUAGUUGUCAUACCAACCCUUAUCUGUCUGCUGUCUUGUUCAUAAUUCGGUUUGAAAUAUGGAAACUCUACCUUAAGCAGUGAAGUCGGCGGUGAAGCAGUAACAGAGCCGCAUAUUAAAACGUUAUAUCUUAUCACGUCCAGAAAACUUCACAGAGAACGAGGGCCAAACAGCGCCACUGGUCAGUUUUAACCAAAUAUGCUCUGGCCCAGCUCAGCUAAAAACACAACGCCAAAUCCGUCAGUGUGUUAGUGUAUCAUUCACUUACAAGCCUGCUCUUAAAGAUGUGAACUUAUCACAGGCAGUUGCCUCGGUCAUGGACUCACGGCAGUGUGUUGCUGCAGUUUAAUGCUGUGUGCCACUGCACGAUGAAUAUAGGGGGGAAACACACUGGAUAGUUGCUGUUAUUUUUGGCAUUAAAGUUUUUUUCUGGCCUGUGGAAUAAUACAGGAAACUGCUGAUAUACAUAUUAGUUUAUGCACUCUUCUCUUGUUGGAAAGUCACCUUUUCAUUAAGCAUAGCUCCUUUUUUAGGAAAAAGUAUCUGUCUGUCUACCAUACAGAAAAUGCCAACAUUUGACUGGUGUUGAUUUUCCUUUGCCUGUUCUAUAUCUGGCUUAACAGCGCUAACAUGCACAGCCUUAUACAGUAUACAGUACAGCUGGCACAUGGCUGAAUAGAGACAAUGACUGUGGAGCCACGAUGACUUGGUUGAAACCUGAACUCUGACCAGGCACACCUUUUUUUUUUACAAAGUAGAACUGCAUUGUAAAGGUAACCCGGUCAUAGAUAUGAGCACAAAUGGGUUGGAUGCCGAUUGUGCAUUUUUGUUUGCACGCCAUGGCCAUUGUAGAGUUCUAAUGCGGGAAACGUAAAAUUAAUUUUGUAGGCACCACAGAGUUGUAGCAAUGGGUUGUAAAACGAGCAUCAAUCUCGUGUGUGUGGCACUGUUAUAAGAACUUGCGGGUUUUGAAGCAAAGCUUUUCCACCUUUACUGUAAUGCAAGCAGGGACUGCUCAUUGAAUCUUCGCACUGGUAAUGCUGGCUUAAUGUUGCAGCAAAGUCUUGUCCGAGCCUGUCCAACCUGCUGAUCCGGCUGCCCCUCCUCCACUCUGACUACAACCGGGCUUACCUUUUAUACAGUGUACACCAUAGUUUCAGUCCUUUCCUCAUUCUUGCUCUGGUUUUUUUUCACUCUGAGUGAAACAGGUUCCUUUCUAAUAUUUGUUGUAAAACAUGUUAUGUUAAUUUAACCCACAGUUGAUCAGCGAUAAAACAUAGAAAGCUUCUUUCAAACAAAUUGAUAUGUUUUAUCCUUUCUGUCAUUACGUCACAAAAUGUUAUACUACAAAUUGUAGUUUCUUAUGAAAAAAAAAAAAGUCAUACAUUUUUGGGCAGUUGACGUUCUGUGAUGUACUGUACAUGCGUACGUAGCAGGAGGCAAACGCACAUCAGCAUAUGCGACCUAAACGCAACACUAGCCAUGAAUUGGCACUGCAAAGGACAUGUUGUGGAAGGAAGUGUUAUGUGCACUUGCAUGUUUUUCUGGUUCUGUAAACUUUCUGUGAAUCAAAUUGGGAGUUUUAGGAAACUGGGGGAGGGGGGGUUACAUUCUACAAUGAAAAUCUAGGCUAAUGCUUGUGAAUAUUUUACGGUAUUACAAUAUUUUUUCGUUCUCUGCAUGUCGAAAUCUACUACUUUUAGACAAAUGAGUAAAUGAAUGAUUCAGUAUUUCCCCACCAGCAUUUUAUUCCCGGCAGUGUGGAGAAGACUUUAAACAGCAUUGUUUAAACCUUCCUGUUGGGAAAUAAAACGUACAAGCUAACAGUUAAGAAAACAAACGUGUCAAAAAAGCCAAGCAGUUAAAAAAAAAAAAAGAAAAAAAAAAGAAACAGCUUUCCCCCUGGCCCUACUUUGGCACAGCCUCCUGGUGUUCUAACACUUUGAACUGUGUUUUGGUGUCAGAUAAACCUUGUAACUCACACAUCUAACCCUUGAACCAGACUUUCUGGAUUGUAUUGUAUUUGAUUUUUUUUCCUUCUUUUCUUCCACCUGUACCUGAAGUUACGUGAUGUUACACGUGCCCACACCAAUACAGCCCCCACAGUGUUUGACAGUAGUGUAGUCGAGGGGCAUGCAUCAUUUAUACGUAGCAAAGUACAAGUCAUUUAAUUGCAACACAGGCAGAUUAAUGUACACGUUGCCUACUUUUAACUCUUAGACACUCUUAAUCUGAUAAAUUGGUCUAUUUUGUUAAUGUCUUUCGCCAAUGUGAAAACUACAGUAUGACGCAUGUUGACCCAUUCAAAGCGACUAGCGACGUGGGCCUGGCCUGUGUUACAGUGGCUCCUUGAAUGGGUUGUUCUCUGCUAGCCUGGUAGCCUUCAGGUCUUAUGGUCAUGGCAACUGCUAUUCUAAAAGAAAUGCACCUGGUUUUCAUUAUGACAGCUUGAAACUAAUUCAGUUGUGUACUAUAAUAUUGUACUAAACUAAAGUGCAAAAAAAUUUAAUUUUCCCUUGUGGGAUAAUGAAAAAAGUACGUGUUGUGUCUUAUAAAAUGCCGUAAUGGCCAACUUUUACAUGCAUUCAAGCCAAAGGGUUUUAAAAGGGUUAUAUUUCCAUUUUACUGCUUAUAACAACACAGCUAUUUGAGUCCACAGAAUAUUGUAAUUAUCUGUUAAAUACACCCACAUGUGUUGCUGUUGAAAAACCAAGCCCUUUGACUGUAUUUCACUAGCUUAGCCUCAUAGAGAUGGAGGU